This 592-nucleotide ribosomal RNA is filed under the name Ganoderma australe. RNAcentral describes it as "partial large subunit ribosomal RNA". It matches the Rfam family "Eukaryotic large subunit ribosomal RNA", at positions 394 to 981 of the family's 3401-position model. Lineage: Eukaryota; Fungi; Basidiomycota; Agaricomycetes; Polyporales; Polyporaceae. The record is from RNAcentral.
UGUCCGUGAAAUUGCUGAAGGGAACGCUUGAAGUCAGUCGCGUUGUCCGGAACUCAGCCUUGCUUUUGCUUGGUGCACUUUCCGGAUGACGGGUCAGCAUCGAUUUUGACCGUCGGAAAAGGGCUGGAGUAAUGUGGCACCUCCGGGUGUGUUAUAGACUCUGGUCGCAUACGGCGGUUGGGAUCGAGGAACGCAGCGCGCCGCAAGGCAGGGGUUCCCCCACUUUCGCGCUUAGGAUGCUGGCAUAAUGGCUUUAAACGACCCGUCUUGAAACACGGACCAAGGAGUCUAACAUACCUGCGAGUGGUUGGGUGGAAAACCCGAGCGCGUAAUGAAAGUGAAAGUUGAGAUCCCUGUCGUGGGGAGCAUCGACGCCCGGACCAGACGUUCUCUGACGGAUCCGCGGUAGAGCAUGUAUGUUGGGACCCGAAAGAUGGUGAACUAUGCCUGAAUAGGGUGAAGCCAGAGGAAACUCUGGUGGAGGCUCGUAACGAUUCUGACGUGCAAAUCGAUCGUCAAAUUUGGGUAUAGGGGCGAAAGACUAAUCGAACCAUCUAGUAGCUGGUUCCUGCCGAAGUUUCCCUCAGGAUAA